GUGCCAGCAGCCGCGGUAAUACGUAGGGUGCGAGCGUUGUCCGGAAUUAUUGGGCGUAAAGAGCUUGUAGGCGGUUUGUCGCGUCUGCUGUGAAAGCCCGGGGCUUAACCCCGGGUCUGCAGUGGGUACGGGCAGGCUAGAGUGUGGUAGGGGAGACUGGAAUUCCUGGUGUAGCGGUGGAAUGCGCAGAUAUCAGGAGGAACACCGAUGGCGAAGGCA
RNAcentral lists this ribosomal RNA (219 nucleotides) under uncultured Actinomycetales bacterium. Its description in RNAcentral is "partial 16S ribosomal RNA". It matches the Rfam family "Bacterial small subunit ribosomal RNA", at positions 505 to 723 of the family's 1533-position model. Lineage: Bacteria; Bacillati; Actinomycetota; Actinomycetes; Actinomycetales. The record is from RNAcentral.